GCCAAAUGAUGAUCUCUAGAUAUGGUGAGCACUCUGUGCGAAGAUGACCAUAUAUCUAUCACCCAUGACUGAUGGCA
Polypterus senegalus (gray bichir) is the source of this 77-nucleotide small nucleolar RNA. RefSeq annotates it as small nucleolar RNA SNORD83. Lineage: Eukaryota; Metazoa; Chordata; Cladistia; Polypteriformes; Polypteridae. The record is from RefSeq and is a predicted model, not a curated record. The transcript has a single exon.